Molecule: ribosomal RNA, 406 nt
Filed under: uncultured bacterium
Lineage: Bacteria
Description: partial 16S ribosomal RNA
Rfam family: Bacterial small subunit ribosomal RNA
Source: RNAcentral
AUUGAACGCUGGCGGCAGGCCUAACACAUGCAAGUCGAACGAGAGGCGGACGGGUGAGUAAUGUCUGGGAAACUGACUGAUGGAGGGGGCUAACUACUGGAAACGGUAGCUAAUACCGCAUACCAUCGGAUGUGCCCUGAUGGGAUUAGCUAGUAGGUGGGGUAACGGCUAACCUAGGCGACAAUCCCUAGCUGGUCUGAGAGGAUGACCAGCCACACUGGAACUGAGACACGGUCCAGACUCCUACGGGAGGCAGCAGUGGGGAAUAUUGCACAAUGGGCGCAAGCCUGAUGCAGCCAUGCCGCGUGUGUGAAGAAGGCCUUCGGGUUGUAAAGUACUUUCAGCGGGGAGGCGUUACCCACAGAAGAAGCACCGGCUAACUCCGUGCCAGCAGCCGCGGUAAUUC